Molecule: non-coding RNA, 28 nt
Organism: Vitreoscilla filiformis
Lineage: Bacteria; Pseudomonadati; Pseudomonadota; Betaproteobacteria; Neisseriales; Neisseriaceae
Source: Rfam
AUUCACUGCCGGGUAGGCAGCUUAGAAA